AUUGAACGCUGGCGGCAGGCCUAACACAUGCAAGUCGAACGGUAACAGGAAGCAGCUUGCUGCUUCGCUGACGAGUGGCGGACGGGUGAGUAAUGUCUGGGAAACUGCCUGAUGGAGGGGGAUAACUACUGGAAACGGUAGCUAAUACCGCAUAACGUCGCAAGACCAAAGAGGGGGACCUUCGGGCCUCUUGCCAUCGGAUGUGCCCAGAUGGGAUUAGCUAGUAGGUGGGGUAAUGGCUCACCUAGGCGACGAUCCCUAGCUGGUCUGAGAGGAUGACCAGCAACACUGGAACUGAGACACGGUCCAGACUCCUACGGGAGGCAGCAGUGGGGAAUAUUGCACAAUGGGCGCAAGCCUGAUGCAGCCAUGCCGCGUGUAUGAAGAAGGCCUUCGGGUUGUAAAGUACUUUCAGCGGGGAGGAAGGGAGUAAAGUUAAUACCUUUGCUCAUUGACGUUACCCGCAGAAGAAGCACCGGCUAACUCCGUGCCAGCAGCCGCCGUAA
This 506-nucleotide ribosomal RNA is filed under the name uncultured bacterium. RNAcentral describes it as "partial 16S ribosomal RNA". It matches the Rfam family "Bacterial small subunit ribosomal RNA", at positions 30 to 523 of the family's 1533-position model. The record is from RNAcentral.